GGAUUAUGGCUCAGUGGUAGAGCGCUUGCCCACCACGUGCAGGGGCCUGGGUUCGAUCCUCAGCACCA
RNAcentral lists this transfer RNA (68 nucleotides) under Marmota monax (woodchuck). Its description in RNAcentral is "tRNA.Gly". Lineage: Eukaryota; Metazoa; Chordata; Mammalia; Rodentia; Sciuridae. The record is from RNAcentral.